RNAcentral lists this ribosomal RNA (466 nucleotides) under uncultured bacterium. Its description in RNAcentral is "partial 16S ribosomal RNA". It matches the Rfam family "Bacterial small subunit ribosomal RNA", at positions 28 to 507 of the family's 1533-position model. The record is from RNAcentral.
GAUGAACGCUGGCGGCGUGCUUAACACAUGCCAGUCGAACGGAAAGGCCCAAGCUUGCUUGGGUACUCGAGUGGCGAACGGGUGAGUAACACGUGGGUGAUCUGCCCUGCACUUCGGGAUAAGCCUGGGAAACUGGGUCUAAUACCGGAUAGGACCACAUUUUGGAUGGUGUGGUGGAAAGUUUUUCGGUGUGGGAUGAGCUCGCGGCCUAUCAGCUUGUUGGUGGGGUAAUGGCCUACCAAGGCGUCGACGGGUAGCCGGCCUGAGAGGGUGUACGGCCACAUUGGGACUGAGAUACGGCCCAGACUCCUACGGGAGGCAGCAGUGGGGAAUAUUGCACAAUGGGCGCAAGCCUGAUGCAGCGACGCCGCGUGGGGGAUGACGGCCUUCGGGUUGUAAACUCCUUUCGCUAGGGACGAAGCGUUAUGUGACGGUACCUGGAGAAGAAGCACCGGCUAACUACGUG